Molecule: transfer RNA, 69 nt
Filed under: Leptobrachella oshanensis (Oshan metacarpal-tubercled toad)
Lineage: Eukaryota; Metazoa; Chordata; Amphibia; Anura; Megophryidae
Description: tRNA-Met
Source: RNAcentral
AGUAAGGUCAGCUAAAAAAGCCUUUGGGCCCAUACCCCAAAAAUGAAGGUUAAAACCCCUCCCUCUCUU